This is a non-coding RNA of Pelodiscus sinensis (Chinese soft-shelled turtle), 1910 nucleotides long. The record is from RefSeq and is a predicted model, not a curated record. Lineage: Eukaryota; Metazoa; Chordata; Testudines; Trionychidae.
UGAGGGAAGAUGGUAUUACCCCACCUCAUGCCUCCCCAGGCAGAUGGCAGGACCCACAAUAAUAGCCCGUUCCCCCCCCCCGUAUCCCAGGGGAGAUGGUAUGGUCUACAGUGAGGUUCUUUUUCCCUUCCUCUGAAUCCUAAGGAAGAUGGUACCACCCAUGUCGUCCCCUCCCUAUUUACGGGGCAAUGAUAUGAGCACCCCACCAUUCCCCUCCCCCGCCACAAGAUCCAUAGUGACUCCCCUAACUCCUAUCAGAGGCGAUGGUACAACCCAUGCGACUGCCCUCCUGCAUCCCUGAGAAUAUGACCGUGAGCACAUCCCCAGCCCCACCGGGCGGGACCAGAUGCCAGAGGGCGGACCGGCACCAUGUGGCAGGAGAGCAGACCCAACUGAGGGGUCUCCGCACUGGGAACAGGACAAUGCAGGCUGCCUGGAGGCUUCUCCUGUCAGUGCCAAGCGAGGAUCCCACCGCUGCCACCAGCGUGAAUCCCUGGAGCGUCGGGGCACAGAGCAGGGCUGGCCAGCACCAGGGAAGGAGGUGGAGGCUGGGAAGGGAGAGACCGGGUCCCUCUCCCCACAGAGGGAGCGGAUCUGGAGGGGCCUUUCGGACCCAGCCCCUGGGCCCUGGCUGGUGCCCAGCAAGGAGCGCCUCUCACGGGCCCUGAGGGGUGUCUGCAUGGCUGAGGGGGAGGAUGAUGAAGGAGGCAGCCUAGGGCAGGGCAUAGGUGGGGAGGUGAAGCGGAGGACCUAGUCCAGCCCUGGCCAUUGCCCUAUGUUCUCAGUGCCUGGGAGAGUACCUCCACCCCCUAUCUGGAUGUGCAAUGGUACCUUCCAUUCUCCUCUCCACCCCUUCACCUAGGGGGUCAGUUAAGUAGUGGUACCUUCCACUCUUGUUCACCCUCCCAUCUGUCUAGUGGUACUGUCUAGUCUAUCACCUCCCACCCCAGCAAUUCAAUAGUGUCUUCAAUUCUCCAAACACCCCUCCAUCUGGCCUGUACAGUGGUAGCGGCCAUUCUCCUACCAUCUUCUCCUGUCCCCCCUCUGGGCUGUACAAUGGUACCUUCCAUUCACUCCCCCCAUCCGAGCUAUUUACUGAAUGGAACUUUCCAAUGUCCCCUUUCCCUCUUCAUAAUCUGCCCCGGCUGUUUCCACUCUGCUGGUACCUUCUUCCUCCCCCUGUCUGUGCAAUGGUACUGUCCAUUUGUAACCCUCGGUAAUUGGCAAUGGUGUUGCCCACUGUUGGCAAUUUUGCAUACACCCCUCAUGGCAAGAUUGCAAUGGUACUGCCCCCCUCCAUUGCCGCCUACACACUCCACAGAGACACACAUGGACUGACCCAUUCCAUCCAGGAGGGGGGAGCCAUCACAUGUAGCUUGAUCCACUCCAUGGGCAGCGGGAGGGUGAAAUGGGCUGUUCCAUUGCAUCAAAAGGAGGACAAAUGUUCCGGUAAAACUCGCACAGGCUGAUCCAUUGGGCGGGGGGGGGUGUAAGUGAAGGGCCAAGCCAUUUUAUGGACCAAUCCGUCCAGACGCAUGUGGACUGAUCUAUUCUGUGCGGAGGGAGGGGGCGGAAUGGACACAUUCCACAGACCCACCCAUUCCUCGGUGCUGGAGGAGGGGGAGGAAUGGAUCAAACCACUCCAAAGCAGGGGAGAACAGACCAAACCAUUCCAUCAAGGUGUGGGGGGUGCGCAAUGGUUUUGCGCCAUUGGUGGUCCUUCCCCAAGAGAUGGGUGGCAGGGGUGCCCCUACCCAGGGCUGGCACCCCGUGAGAGGGGCUCAGCCGCACUGCGGGGGGCAGGGGCGUCCUGAGCUGGAACGAAGGUGCUGCUGUUGCCUUGCUUUCUGUCGCCAUGGGGACAACCUUUAUUUUCAAUAAACCAGACCGCUUUUUGGGCAGCGAACAAA